GACAGAGGGGGCAAGCGUUGCUCGGAAUCACUGGGCGUAAAGGGCGCGUAGGCGGGAUGGCAAGUCGGUCGUGAAAUCUCUCGGCUCAACCGAGAAACGUCGGCCGAUACUGCCGUUCUUGAGGGAUGCAGAGGAGACUGGAAUUCCCGGUGUAGCGGUGAAAUGCGUAGGUAUCUGGAGGAAUACCGGUGGCGAAGGCGGCAUCCUGGACCGACAUUGACGCUGAACGGCGAAAGCUAGGGGAGCAAACGGG
Molecule: ribosomal RNA, 253 nt
Filed under: uncultured bacterium
Lineage: Bacteria
Description: partial 16S ribosomal RNA
Rfam family: Bacterial small subunit ribosomal RNA
Source: RNAcentral